RNAcentral lists this ribosomal RNA (507 nucleotides) under Yininemertes pratensis. Its description in RNAcentral is "partial 16S ribosomal RNA". It matches the Rfam family "Bacterial large subunit ribosomal RNA", at positions 1832 to 2597 of the family's 2925-position model. The record is from RNAcentral. Lineage: Eukaryota; Metazoa; Nemertea; Pilidiophora; Heteronemertea; Lineidae.
AGUUUAUUGUUUUUUAUAAUAAAUUUUUUCUGCCCGGUGAAUAUUUUAACGGCCGCGGUACUCUGACCGUGCAAAGGUAGCAUAAUCAUUUGUUCUUUAAUUGGGGACUAGAAUGAAAGAAAGGUUGAAAGCAAAGCUGUCUCUUUUAAGAGCAAGAAAUUGCUGCUGUUGUGAAGAAGCAAUAGUCUGUCAAAAAGACAAGAAGACCCUAUUAAGCUGUACUUUUUCCAUUGAAUUUUUUCUUUUCAGUAAAAAAAUUCAAUGGAAAGGGUUUAGUUGGGGUGACUGAAGAGGAAUAAACUUUUAUCCUCUUUUGUUUAGAAAACUUUAGGUUUAAUUUUGAUCCAAUAUUUUUUGAUUGUAAGAAUUAGUUACUAUAGGGAUAACAGCGUAAUUUUUUCAUAAAGUUCUUAUUGAAGAAAAAGAUUGCGACCUCGAUGUUGACUUAUUGUUUCCUUGAAAGGUGUAGUAGCUAAAAAGGUUAGUCUGUUCGACUAUUAAAACAAU